GCAUAUCAAUAAGCGGAGGAAAAGAAACCAACAGGGAUUGCCCUAGUAACGGCGAGUGAAGCGGCAACAGCUCAAAUUUGAAAUCUGGCUUCGGCCCGAGUUGUAAUUUGUAGAGGAUGCUUUUGGUGCGGUGCCUUCUGAGUUCCCUGGAACGGGACGCCAUAGAGGGUGAGAGCCCCGUAUAGUUGGACACCAAGCCUUUGUAAAGCUCCUUCGACGAGUCGAGUAGUUUGGGAAUGCUGCUCAAAAUGGGAGGUAAAUUUCUUCUAAAGCUAAAUACCGGCCAGAGACCGAUAGCGCACAAGUAGAGUGAUCGAAAGAUGAAAAGCACUUUGAAAAGAGGGUUAAAUAGCACGUGAAAUUGUUGAAAGGGAAGCGCUUAUGACCAGACUUGUUCCAGGUUGAUCAUCCAGUGUUCUCACUGGUGCACUCUGCCUGGAUCAGGCCAGCGUCGGUUUUCGUAGGGGGAUAAAGACUUCGGGAAUGUGGCUCCUCCGGGAGUGUUAUAGCCCGUUGUAUAAUACCCUUAUGGGGACCGAGGUACGCGCUCUGCAAGGACGCUGGCGUAAUGGUCAUCAGCGACCCGUCUUGAAACACGGAC
This 601-nucleotide small RNA is filed under the name Arthrographis curvata. Its description in RNAcentral is "eukaryotic LSU rRNA". It matches the Rfam family "Eukaryotic large subunit ribosomal RNA", at positions 38 to 666 of the family's 3401-position model. Lineage: Eukaryota; Fungi; Ascomycota; Dothideomycetes; Eremomycetales; Eremomycetaceae. The record is from RNAcentral.